RNAcentral lists this ribosomal RNA (254 nucleotides) under uncultured bacterium. RNAcentral describes it as "partial 16S ribosomal RNA". It matches the Rfam family "Bacterial small subunit ribosomal RNA", at positions 524 to 776 of the family's 1533-position model. The record is from RNAcentral.
UACGGGGGGAGCAAGCGUUGUUCGGAUUUACUGGGCGUAAAGGGCGCGUAGGCGGUCGUGACAAGUCACUUGUGAAAUCUCCGGGCUUAACUCGGAACGGUCAAGUGAUACUGUCGGACUAGAGUACAGAAGGGGCAACUGGAAUUCUCGGUGUAGCGGUGAAAUGCGUAGAUAUCGAGAGGAACACCUGCGGCGAAGGCGGGUUGCUGGGCUGACACUGACGCUGAUGCGCGAAAGCCAGGGGAGCGAACGGG